This is a long non-coding RNA of Conger conger (European conger), 920 nucleotides long. RefSeq lists it as uncharacterized. The record is from RefSeq and is a predicted model, not a curated record. The transcript is spliced from 2 exons. Lineage: Eukaryota; Metazoa; Chordata; Actinopteri; Anguilliformes; Congridae.
UUGUUCCAAACAUCUUGGGGAACUAGUCACAGUUCUUCUGUGGAUUUAGGCAGCCUCAAAUGCUUCUGUCUCUUCAUGUAAUCCCAGACAGACUCGAUGAUGUUAAGAUCAGGGCUCUGUGUGGGGCCAUACCAUCACUUCCAGGACUCCUUGUUCUUCUUACGCUGAAGAUAGUUAGAUAUUAGAUAGAAGAUAUUGGCUGUUUGGGGUCGUUGUCCUGCUGCAGGAUAAAUUUGGGGCCAAUCAGAUGCCUCCGUGAUGGUAUUGCAUGAUGGAUAAGUAUCUGCCUGUACUCAGCAUUGAGGAGACCAUUAAUUCUGACCAAAUCCCCAACUCCAUUUGCAGAAAUGCAGCCCCAAACUUGCAAGGAACCUCCACUAUGCUUCACUGUUGCCUGCAAACACUCAUUCUUGUACCGCUCUCCAGCCCUUUGGCGAACAAACUGCCUAUUAGUCAAAAUAUUUCACAUUUGUCUCAUCAGUCCAGAGAACCUACUGCCUUUAUUCUGCACCCCAGUUCCUGUGUUUACCAGCAUAGUUCAGUCGCUUGGCCUUGUUUCCAUGUCGGAGGUAUGGCUUUUUGGCCGCAAUUCUCCCAUGAAGACCACUUCUGACAAGACUUCUCUGCACAGUGGAUGGGUAUACCUGGGUCCCACUUGUUUCCACCAAUCCUGAGCUGAUGGCACUGCUGGACAUCUUCCGAUUGCGAAGGGAAAGCUUGGACAGCAGAUCUGGUGAUGAGAGACCUUCCUGAUGCUGUGCUCAUUCUUGUUAUGGUGUAUGACUUCUGACAUUAAACUGUCUUCAGCAACCUCAUCUUGGAAGCAAAGUUCCUCAUGCAGUUUUAACCCUCCUACACAGCUGUUUUUUAUUUCAGUUAAUGAUUGUGUUUCAACCUACAUAUUAAAUUGAUGAUCAUUA